This 497-nucleotide ribosomal RNA is filed under the name uncultured bacterium. Its description in RNAcentral is "partial 16S ribosomal RNA". It matches the Rfam family "Bacterial small subunit ribosomal RNA", at positions 28 to 507 of the family's 1533-position model. The record is from RNAcentral.
GAUGAACGCUGGCGGCGUGCCUAAUACAUGCAAGUCGAGCGAACAGACGAGGAGCUUGCUCCUCUGACGUUAGCGGCGGACGGGUGAGUAACACGUGGAUAACCUACCUAUAAGACUGGGAUAACUUCGGGAAACCGGAGCUAAUACCGGAUAAUAUAUCGAACCGCAUGGUUCAAUAGUGAAAGACGGUUUUGCUGUCACUUAUAGAUGGAUCCGCGCCGCAUUAGCUAGUUGGUAAGGUAACGGCUUACCAAGGCAACGAUGCGUAGCCGACCUGAGAGGGUGAUCGGCCACACUGGAACUGAGACACGGUCCAGACUCCUACGGGAGGCAGCAGUAGGGAAUCUUCCGCAAAGGGCGAAAGCUUGACGGAGCAACGCCGCGGGAGUGAUGAAGGUCUUCGGAUCGUAAAACUCUGUUAUUAGGGAAGAACAAAUGUGUAAGUAACUAUGCACGUCUUGACGGUACCUAAUCAGAAAGCCACGGCUAACUACGUG